This 2561-nucleotide long non-coding RNA is filed under the name Sus scrofa (pig). RNAcentral describes it as "lncRNA (ENSSSCG00045014631.1)". Lineage: Eukaryota; Metazoa; Chordata; Mammalia; Artiodactyla; Suidae. The record is from RNAcentral.
AUUUCUUUGGGCCGCUCCCACGGCAUAUGGAGGUUCCCAGGCUAGGGGUCGAAUCAAAGCUGCAGCCACCGGCCUACGCCAGAGCCACAGCAACGCAGGAUCCGAGCCGCAUCUGCAACUUACACCACAGCUCACGGCAACGCCGGAUGGUUAACCCACUGAGCAACGGCAGGAACCAAACCCGCAACCUCAUGGUUCCUAGUUGGAUUCGUUAACCACUGCGCCAUGACAGGAACUCCAGCAUAAUUCUUUAAAUAUCUUCCUUGACUCUCUCUGAAUUGAGGGCAGGGAUACAAGCUGAAACCUUUUACAAAACAAGCUUCAUAUUCAGGGAAAAGGAAAAUUCAAUUUCCCAAGAUAGAUUCAACGAAGAAUCUACCCACAAUGCAGGUACCUUGACUACUAAGGAUGGUAACAUGGGAAUGAGAGAAAAGCUUAAAAUAAAAACAAAACAAAACCAAAAGACUACCAAGUGGAAACAAUGUAUUUCCCGUAGUCAUUCCAGUACCUCUGACCUCUUUCUACAAACAUGUGUACAAUAGCAUAAGGACCACAGCAGCCUGGCAGAGAAGAUUGACCUUGCUAUGCCCAGUACUCAUUACUGAAGCUUAGGGUUCCCUUUCUCUUGUCAGGUUCUGUGUGAAAAAGUGUCACCACUUCCAAGAGCUUCAACCAUUGAGGGUCACCAGUAAGGCUGUUCAUAAUCCAGACUGAGGCAAAAAGACAUAUAAGGGAUCAAGAAGAGGUCGCAAAGGAAGAGUGAGAGACUAAGCAGCAAAAAAAAGGAUAAAUAUUCCCACCACCCAUCCUGAUGUACAAACUUUCCCAUCAUUUGCAUCCACAGACCCUAGGCAUAUGGAAGUUCCCAGGCUAGGGGUCCAAUUGGAGCUGCAGCUGCCAACCUAUGCCACAGCCACAGCAAUGCCAGAUCGAGCCACAUCCGUGACCGACACCACAACUCACAGCAACGCGAAGUCCUAAACCCACUGAGCAAGGCCAGGGAUCAAACCCGCAUCCUCAUGGAUACUAGUCGAGUUUGUAACCCACUGAGCCACAACGGGAACUCCCCACAGCCCCUAGACUCUUGAAGGUGGAUUUCUCUCAAAAGCAAACAGCUGUUUUUACCAAAGCUACAUGUAGGUUAUUUCUACAAGAUAAUAUAUUAUCUUAUAUAAUAUAUUGAAGACUUCCUCUCUCCCUGUAUUUCUGGUUCUUUCCCUCUUUUUUAUUUUAUUGGCCACACUGUCAAACUGAGUAAUCAUUUCUCCAGCUUCAACCACAUUUUCGGCUGUGUCUAUCCAUACACACUUAAAGCUGUUCUUAAGGGGAGUUAUAUUUUCCUGUGAAAAGAGAUGAAAUAUAGCCUGUCCUGAGAAUCAGUGAGAACCAACUGGAAUAUUUUCAGGAAGAACCAAAUAAAAUCCAAAGAUAUACGUCUGAGAAGCAAAAGAAGUUUAAUGUGGCAUUUUUAUUUACUAACUUUAAAGUCUGAAAAUUGCCCUUGUAUGACCCUGGACAAGUUAUUUCAGCUAAUUUUUUUUCUUUUUUUUUUUUAGGGCCGCACCCACAGCAUAUGGAGGUUCUCAGGCUAGGGGUCGAGUCAGAGCUAUAACCUUUGGCCUACACCACAGCCACAGCAAUGCCAGAUCCAAGCCACAUCACAGCUCACAGCAACUCCGGAUCCUUAACCCACUGAGCUAGGGAUCCUUUUUUUUUUUUUUUUUAUUUUCCCACUGUACAGCAAGGGGGUCAGGUUAUCCUUACCUGUAUACAUUACAAUUACCGUUUUUCCCCCACCCUUUCUUCUGUUGCAACGUGAGUAUCUAGACAUAGUUCUCAAUCAUUUUUAAAAAGCAAAUACCACUGCAAAUUAAAAACAGAUUCAACUGUGAUCAUCAAAGAAUAGCAAACACUCAGAGAUCUACUCUACAGCUAAUUCAAUAUAGACAUCUCCUUUUCGAAUUUGUUUCUUUUUUUUCAUAAUCACAAUUUUAUUCUACCUUAACUUUCGUGCUUCUUUACUUGUGUUUCCAGCCCUGGGUGGAAAUGAAAUAAAAGUGUGUUAAUGGUGCAGCAGUAAUAGAAUUUGAAGAUCUCUUCUCUGAGAUAUUGUAGUUUUUGCAACCCUUAAUGGCAUUGUCCUUGACUGGAGAUGCACAAGGAAAUUCAUUUCCUGCCAGCUUCUCUGAGACUAAUGGGCCUUCCAAGUGCAGAGUUUUCACUGACGUAUGAGGACUGAGUGUAGAAGAGAGGGCUCAGCUCUGCUGGCAGAAUUCCUGGGAGAAAAGAAACCUUGAAAGAUGCACCGCAAUAAACCCUUUGUUCUGGGAAAAGAGAAAAAUCAAGCUCUAUCAUAAUUUUUCUUAAUCUUCCUCCAUAAUCCAACUUACGGAUUAUGUUUAGGUGAAGGCAAGGGAAGACUGUCUCAGAAAGUAAUUGUGAAAAGGUCUGAAAUUAAAAUAUAUAUAAAUGCUUAUGUGAAACAAUCAGGGACAGUACUCCACUCUCUGGGACUUUGAGAAAAAUGCUAAAUCUAGUGAUAGAAUCUGAGACUGUCUCUC